This 465-nucleotide ribosomal RNA is filed under the name Vreelandella stevensii. RNAcentral's name for it is "partial 16S ribosomal RNA". It matches the Rfam family "Bacterial small subunit ribosomal RNA", at positions 338 to 795 of the family's 1533-position model. Lineage: Bacteria; Pseudomonadati; Pseudomonadota; Gammaproteobacteria; Oceanospirillales; Halomonadaceae. The record is from RNAcentral.
CCUACGGGGGGCAGCAGUGGGGAAUAUUGGACAAUGGGCGAAAGCCUGAUCCAGCCAUGCCGCGUGUGUGAAGAAGGCCUUCGGGUUGUAAAGCACUUUCAGUGGGGAAGAAAGCCUUGGGGCUAAUACCCUCGAGGAAGGACAUCACCCACAGAAGAAGCACCGGCUAACUCCGUGCCAGCAGCCGCGGUAAUACGGAGGGUGCGAGCGUUAAUCGGAAUUACUGGGCGUAAAGCGCGCGUAGGCGGUCUGAUAAGCCGGUUGUGAAAGCCCCGGGCUCAACCUGGGAACGGCAUCCGGAACUGUCAGGCUAGAGUGCAGGAGAGGAAGGUAGAAUUCCCGGUGUAGCGGUGAAAUGCGUAGAGAUCGGGAGGAAUACCAGUGGCGAAGGCGGCCUUCUGGACUGACACUGACGCUGAGGUGCGAAAGCGUGGGUAGCAAACAGGAUUACAUACCCCGGUAGUC